RNAcentral lists this ribosomal RNA (639 nucleotides) under Naganishia liquefaciens. RNAcentral's name for it is "eukaryotic LSU rRNA". It matches the Rfam family "Eukaryotic large subunit ribosomal RNA", at positions 29 to 670 of the family's 3401-position model. The record is from RNAcentral. Lineage: Eukaryota; Fungi; Basidiomycota; Tremellomycetes; Filobasidiales; Filobasidiaceae.
UAAUUUUAAGCAUAUCAAUAAGCGGAGGAAAAGAAGACUAACAAGGAUUCCCCUAGUAACGGCGAGUGAAGCGGGAAGAGCUCAAAUUUGAAAUCUAGUAGCCUUCGGCUGCUCGAGUUGUAAUCUAGAGAAGUGUUUUCCGUGCCGGCCCAUGUACAAGUCCCUUGGAACAGGGCGUCAUAGAGGGUGAGAAUCCCGUCCUUGACAUGGACCCCCGGUGCUCUGUGAUACACUUUCAACGAGUCGAGUUGUUUGGGAAUGCAGCUCAAAAUGGGUGGUGAAUUCCAUCUAAAGCUAAAUAUUGGCGAGAGACCGAUAGCGAACAAGUACCGUGAGGGAAAGAUGAAAAGCACUUUGGAAAGAGAGUUAAACAGUACGUGAAAUUGUUGAAAGGGAAACGAUUGAAGUCAGUCAUGCUCUUUGGUAUUUAUAUCAUUGAGUGGGGUCAACAUCAGUUUUGAGCGAUGGAUAAAGGCACUAGGAAGGUAGCACUCUCGGGUGAACUUAUAGCCUAGCGUCAUAUACAUUGUUUGGGACUGAGGAACGCAGCAUGCCUUUAUGGCCGGGAUUCGUCCACGUACAUGCUUAGGAUGUUGACAUAAGUGGCUUUAGACUACCCGUCUUGAACACCGGACCAUG